UAACCUGCCCAAGAGAUCGGGAUAACACCUGGAAACAGAUGCUAAUACCGGAUAAUAACAGAUGAUGCCUAUCAACUGUUUAAAAGAUGGUUCUGCUAUCACUCUUGGAUGGACCUGCGGUGCAUUAGCUAGUUGGUAGGGUAACGGCCUACCAAGGCGAUGAUGCAUAGCCGAGUUGAGAGACUGAUCGGCCACAUUGGGACUGAGACACGGCCCAAACUCCUACGGGAGGCAGCAGGC
This 240-nucleotide ribosomal RNA is filed under the name uncultured Lactobacillus sp. RNAcentral's name for it is "partial 16S ribosomal RNA". It matches the Rfam family "Bacterial small subunit ribosomal RNA", at positions 122 to 354 of the family's 1533-position model. Lineage: Bacteria; Bacillati; Bacillota; Bacilli; Lactobacillales; Lactobacillaceae. The record is from RNAcentral.